Molecule: transfer RNA, 74 nt
Filed under: Firmicutes bacterium CAG:345
Lineage: Bacteria; Bacillati; Bacillota
Also listed under: 1 other name
Description: transfer RNA-Thr(GGT)
Rfam family: tRNA
About the family: Transfer RNA (tRNA) molecules are approximately 80 nucleotides in length.
Source: RNAcentral
GCCUUGUUAGUUAAGUGGUAUAACAGAUCCAUGGUAAGGAUCAGUCGCUAGUUCGAUUCUGGCACGAGGCACCA